GUUAAGUUAGAAAGGGCGCACGGUGAAUGCCUUGGCACUAGGAGCCGAUGAAGGACGGGACUAACACCGAUAUGCUUCGGGGAGCUGUAAGUGAGCUUUGAUCCGGAGAUUUCCGAAUGGGGAAACCCACUGUUCGUAAUGGAACAGUAUCUUUAUCUGAAUACAUAGGAUAUUGAAGGCAGACCCGGGGAACUGAAACAUCUAAGUACCCGGAGGAAGAGAAAGCAAAUGCGAUUUCCUGAGUAGCGGCGAGCGAAACGGAAUUAGCCCAAACCAAGAGGCUUGCCUCUUGGGGUUGUAGGACACUCUAUACGGAGUUACAAAGGAACGAAGUAAAUGAAGCGACCUGGAAAGGUCCGUCGAAGAAGGUAACAACCCUGUAGUUGAAACUUCGUUCCCUCUUGAGUGGAUCCUGAGUACGGCGGAACACGUGAAAUUCCGUCGGAAGCUGGGAGGACCAUCUCCCAAGGCUAAAUACUACCUAGUGACCGAUAGUGAACCAGUACCGUGAGGGAAAGGUGAAAAGCACCCCGGAAGGGGAGUGAAAGAGAUCCUGAAACCGUGUGCCUACAAGUAGUCAGAGCCCGUUAAUGGGUGAUGGCGUGCCUUUUGUAGAAUGAACCGGCGAGUUACGAUCCCAUGCAAGGUUAAGCUGAUAAGGCGGAGCCGUAGCGAAAGCGAGUCUGAAUAGGGCGUUUAGUAUGUGGUUGUAGACCCGAAACCAGGUGAUCUACCCAUGUCCAGGGUGAAGUUCAGGUAACACUGAAUGGAGGCCCGAACCCACGCACGUUGAAAAGUGCGGGGAUGAGGUGUGGGUAGCGGAGAAAUUCCAAUCGAACCUGGAGAUAGCUGGUUCUCUCCGAAAUAGCUUUAGGGCUAGCCUCAUGUUGUGAGAGUCUUGGAGGUAGAGCACUGAUUGGACUAGGGGCCCCCAACGGGUUACCGAAUUCAGUCAAACUCCGAAUGCCAAAGACUUAUCCAUGGGAGUCAGACUGCGAGUGAUAAGAUCCGUAGUCAAAAGGGAAACAGCCCAGACCACCAGCUAAGGUCCCCAAGUAUACGUUAAGUGGAAAAGGAUGUGGAGUUGCUUAGACAACCAGGAUGUUGGCUUAGAAGCAGCCACCAUUUAAAGAGUGCGUAAUAGCUCACUGGUCGAGUGACUCUGCGCCGAAAAUGUACCGGGGCUAAACGUAUCACCGAAGCUGUGGAUUGACAUCUUUGAUGUCAGUGGUAGGAGAGCGUUCUAAGUGCAGCGAAGUCAGACCGUAAGGACUGGUGGAGCGCUUAGAAGUGAGAAUGCCGGUAUGAGUAGCGAAAGACAAGUGAGAAUCUUGUCCACCGAAUGCCUAAGGUUUCCUGAGGAAGGCUCGUCCGCUCAGGGUUAGUCGGGACCUAAGCCGAGGCUGAAAAGCGUAGGCGAUGGCCAACAGGUUGAUAUUCCUGUACCACCUCCCCGCCGUUUGAGUAAUGGGGGGACGCAGUAGGAUAGGGUAAGCGCGCUGCUGGAUAUGCGCGUUCAAGCAGUUAGGCUGAUGAGUAGGCAAAUCCGCUCAUCAUAAAGGCUGAGCUGUGAUGACGAGGGAAUUAUAGUACCGAAGUUCCUGAUUCCACACUGCCAAGAAAAGCCUCUAGCGAGGCGGGAGGUGCCCGUACCGCAAACCGACACAGGUAGGCGAGGAGAGAAUCCUAAGGUGAUCGAGAGAACUCUCGUUAAGGAACUCGGCAAAAUGACCCCGUAACUUCGGGAGAAGGGGUGCUCUGGUAGGGUGUAUAGCCCGAGAGAGCCGCAGUGAAUAGGCCCAGGCGACUGUUUAGCAAAAACACAGGUCUCUGCGAAGCCGCAAGGCGAAGUAUAGGGGCUGACGCCUGCCCGGUGCUGGAAGGUUAAGAGGAGGGGUUAUCCUUUGGGAGAAGCUCUGAAUCGAAGCCCCAGUAAACGGCGGCCGUAACUAUAACGGUCCUAAGGUAGCGAAAUUCCUUGUCGGGUAAGUUCCGACCCGCACGAAAGGCGUAACGAUCUGGGCACUGUCUCAACGAGAGACUCGGUGAAAUUAUAGUACCUGUGAAGAUGCAGGUUACCCGCGACAGGACGGAAAGACCCCGUGGAGCUUUACUGUAGCCUGAUAUUGAAUUUUGGUACAGCUUGUACAGGAUAGGUAGGAGCCUGAGAAGCCGGAGCGCUAGCUUCGGUGGAGGCGUCGGUGGGAUACUACCCUGGCUGUAUUGAAAUUCUAACCCGCGGCCCUGAUCGGGCCGGGAGACAGUGUCAGGUGGGCAGUUUGACUGGGGCGGUCGCCUCCUAAAAUGUAACGGAGGCGCCCAAAGGUUCCCUCAGAAUGGUUGGAAAUCAUUCGUAGAGUGUAAAGGCACAAGGGAGCUUGACUGCGAGACCUACAAGUCGAGCAGGGACGAAAGUCGGGCUUAGUGAUCCGGUGGUUCCGCAUGGAAGGGCCAUCGCUCAACGGAUAAAAGCUACCCCGGGGAUAACAGGCUUAUCUCCCCCAAGAGUCCACAUCGACGGGGAGGUUUGGCACCUCGAUGUCGGCUCAUCGCAUCCUGGGGCUGUAGUCGGUCCCAAGGGUUGGGCUGUUCGCCCAUUAAAGCGGUACGCGAGCUGGGUUCAGAACGUCGUGAGACAGUUCGGUCCCUAUCCGUCGUGGGCGUAGGAAAUUUGAGAGGAGCUGUCCUUAGUACGAGAGGACCGGGAUGGACACACCGCUGGUGUACCAGUUGUCUUGCCAAAGGCAUCGCUGGGUAGCUAUGUGUGGACGGGAUAAGUGCUGAAAGCAUCUAAGCAUGAAGCCCCCCUCAAGAUGAGAUUUCCCAUAGCGCAAGCUAGUAAGAUCCCUGAAAGAUGAUCAGGUUGAUAGGUCAGAGGUGGAAGCGUGGCGACAUGUGUAGCUGACUGAUACUAAUCGAUCGAGGACUUAACC
This 2933-nucleotide ribosomal RNA is filed under the name Priestia megaterium Q3. RNAcentral's name for it is "bacterial LSU rRNA". It matches the Rfam family "Bacterial large subunit ribosomal RNA". The record is from RNAcentral. Lineage: Bacteria; Bacillati; Bacillota; Bacilli; Caryophanales; Bacillaceae.